CCUGGGGGAACCCGCGGACGGGAAGGCGACAAAGUAGAGAAGUUCAUAAGACGUAGAGGCUCCAGACGGAGGGGCACCAGCUAAGCAAAGAAGGGAAGAGAGGGAAAGAUAAGGGUAGCAAAGGGAGAAGGAAAAAAACAAGAAGGGGAUAGCCAAGAGUAAAAAGAGAGAAUAAGAAAGGAGGGAAAGGAAUGGGAAAGGAGUAAGGAAGUCAAGUAUGAAGGAGACAAAGAGAAUCAGACAGGAAAACAGGAAAAGGGACAGGGGUUCACAGCUAAGGAUAAGACAAGGAGAAACAAACCUAACUUGGCACCCACGCUAAAGGCGGGAGUUAAAGACGGUACAAACCACCUCCACCCCAGCCAGAUCAACAGGGGCAUACCCCACUGCCACCAAAGAUCUGAGAACUGAACGCGCAAAGCACACACAACACCCGGUUUCCCCCCCCGUACGGUCGGUCAACACACACCACCUGCCUAGACACAAGACACCAACCACCUUUGUCACACUGGGUGAUAUACCAUAGCCACAACAACCGUACGAGAGAGGGAAAACCCCAUCCACACAAAGGUGUAUAGGACCCAAGAGCCCAACUAGUAUACGUCUUUGAUCUGUUAGAUGACGUGCAUGUCACUAUGUUGUUCACAAUGAUUAUCUCAUGUCUGAGACAUGGAUUGGGAAAGCCUUUUUCGGACCUGCGUGUCCGCGACAAUGUUUUUCCUUUUUC
Molecule: non-coding RNA, 727 nt
Organism: Pelobates cultripes (western spadefoot toad)
Lineage: Eukaryota; Metazoa; Chordata; Amphibia; Anura; Pelobatidae
Source: the annotation of a GenBank genome assembly